GCCGUGCUGAGAGAGAUGAGCGGCUUGUUGGCUGAGCAGAGGGUGGAGCUGAGGCACCUACAGCGAGAGAAUGACGCACAAGCAGCAAAGCUGACGGAGCUGGAGAAAUUGCCGAGGGAGCUGGAGAUAUUGAACCAACAGGACAAAGCACAAGCAGCAAAGCUGAGGGAGCUGGAGAAGUUGCCGAGGGAGCUGGAGAAAUUG
Molecule: long non-coding RNA, 204 nt
Organism: Limanda limanda (common dab)
Lineage: Eukaryota; Metazoa; Chordata; Actinopteri; Pleuronectiformes; Pleuronectidae
Exons: 3
Source: RefSeq, a predicted model, not a curated record